CAGCCGCCGCGGGAAUACGAAGGGGGCUAGCGUUGCUCGGAAUUACUGGGCGUAAAGGGCGCGUAGGCGGCGCUCCAAGUUAGGCGUGAAAUUCCCGGGCUCAACCUGGGGACUGCGCUUAAGACUGGAGUGCUUGAGGAUGGAAGAGGGUUGUGGAAUUCCCAGUGUAGAGGUGAAAUUCGUAGAUAUUGGGAAGAACACCGGUGGCGAAGGCGGCAACCUGGUCCAUUACUGACGCUGAGGCGCGAUAGCGUGGGGAGCAAACAGGAUUAGAUACCCCGGUAGUCCCUGUCUCUUAUAC
This 301-nucleotide ribosomal RNA is filed under the name uncultured bacterium. RNAcentral's name for it is "partial 16S ribosomal RNA". It matches the Rfam family "Bacterial small subunit ribosomal RNA", at positions 509 to 807 of the family's 1533-position model. The record is from RNAcentral.